RNAcentral lists this ribosomal RNA (486 nucleotides) under uncultured bacterium. RNAcentral's name for it is "bacterial SSU rRNA". It matches the Rfam family "Bacterial small subunit ribosomal RNA", at positions 28 to 507 of the family's 1533-position model. The record is from RNAcentral.
GAUGAACGCUAGCGACAGGCUUAACACAUGCAAGUCGAACGGCAGCAUGGGUGCUUGCACCUGAUGGCGAGUGGCGAACGGGUGAGUAAUGCAUCGGAACGUACCCGGAAGUGGGGGAUAACGUAGCGAAAGUUACGCUAAUACCGCAUAUUCUGUGAGCAGGAAAGCGGGGGAUCGCAAGACCUCGCGCUUCCGGAGCGGCCGAUGUCGGAUUAGCUAGUUGGCGGGGUAAAGGCCCACCAAGGCAACGAUCCGUAGCGGGUCUGAGAGGAUGAUCCGCCACACUGGGACUGAGACACGGCCCAGACUCCUACGGGAGGCAGCAGUGGGGAAUUUUGGACAAUGGGGGCAACCCUGAUCCAGCCAUGCCGCGUGAGUGAAGAAGGCCUUCGGGUUGUAAAGCUCUUUCGGCUGGGAAGAAAUCGCAUCUCCUAAUACGGGGUGUGGAUGACGGUACCAGCAUAAGAAGCACCGGCUAACUACGUG